RNAcentral lists this ribosomal RNA (478 nucleotides) under uncultured bacterium. RNAcentral's name for it is "partial 16S ribosomal RNA". It matches the Rfam family "Bacterial small subunit ribosomal RNA", at positions 28 to 507 of the family's 1533-position model. The record is from RNAcentral.
GAUGAACGCUGGCGGCGUGCUUAACACAUGCAAGUCGAACGAGAAGUGAAGACGGAAACCUUCGGGCGGAAGGCUUUAUUUCGAGUGGCGGACGGGUGAGUAACGCGUGGGUAACCUGCCUCAUACAGGGGGAUAACAGUUGGAAACGACUGUUAAUACCGCAUAAGACCACAGCACCGCAUGGUGCGGGGGUAAAAACUCCGGUGGUAUGAGAUGGACCCGCGUUCGAUUAGCCAGUUGGCGGGGUAACGGCCCACCAAAGCGACGAUCGAUAGCCGAUCUGAGGGGAUGACCGGCCACAUUGGAACUGAGGCACGGCCCAAACUCCUACGGGGAGCAGCAGUGGGGAAUAUUGCACAAUGGGGGAAACCCUGAUGCAGCGACGCCGCGUGAGUGAAGAAGUAUGUCGGUAUGUAAAGCUCUAUCAGCAGGGAAGAAAAUGACGGUACCUGAGUAAGAAGCCCCGGCUAACUACGUG